RNAcentral lists this ribosomal RNA (495 nucleotides) under Doleroserica sp. DA3777. RNAcentral describes it as "partial 16S large subunit ribosomal RNA". It matches the Rfam family "Bacterial large subunit ribosomal RNA", at positions 1846 to 2600 of the family's 2925-position model. The record is from RNAcentral. Lineage: Eukaryota; Metazoa; Arthropoda; Insecta; Coleoptera; Scarabaeidae.
UUUAAAGUCUAAUCUGCCCAAUGAAGUUUUAAAUGGCCGCGGUAUUUUGACCGUGCAAAGGUAGCAUAAUAAUUAGUUUUUUAAUUGGAAGCUGGAAUGAAUGAUUGAACGAGAAAAUAGCUGUCUCAAUUUAAUUUAAUUAGAAUUUUAUUUUUAAGUAAAAAAGCUUAAAUUUUUUUAAAAGACGAGAAGACCCUAUAGAGUUUAAUAGUUUAUUAUUAAUUAGUUUUUUAGUAUUUUUAUAUUAAUUUUAAUUAGAUUAUUUUGUUGGGGUGAUAGAAAAAUUAAAGUAACUUUUUUUUAUUUAUUUCAUUAAUUUAUGAUUAAUUGAUCCAUUAUUUAUGAUUAUAAGAUUAAAUUACCUUAGGGAUAACAGCGUAAUUUUUUUUAAGAGUUCUUAUUGAAAGGAAAGAUUGCGACCUCGAUGUUGGAUUAAAAUAAAUAUUUGGUGUAGUAGCUAUAUAAUUAGGUCUGUUCGACCUUUAAAAUUUUACA